This 432-nucleotide long non-coding RNA is filed under the name Nicotiana benthamiana. RNAcentral describes it as "long non-coding RNA (NBEN_LNC039582)". The record is from RNAcentral. Lineage: Eukaryota; Viridiplantae; Streptophyta; Magnoliopsida; Solanales; Solanaceae.
UGGAAUCAGAAACAAGACUCUCAGUCAACAUAGUACCAGCAAAAUUAGCAGCACACAUGGGAAAGGAAGUUUGAUCACUGGAAUCCCUUGACUUGGUCUGUUGCAACAAGCUUAUCAGUUGAUCACAUUGCUGUCUGCUCAACUCUGGUAUCACAGACUGGUUGGCAGCAGGAUCCCCAAGAGGAACAGACAAGUCAGAAUUCCCAUGAUUAUCAGACACACAGUCAGGACCAGUGGAGACAUGAGCAGCUACAGAUUUCCUUCCCUUGGUAUAAUUGUUGCUUUGAGGAAACCCAUGGAGCUUGUAGCACUUAUCAAUUAAGUGCCCAGACUUCUUGCAGUAUCUGCAGAAUAAGGUUCCUCUGUUUCGCUCAAAAUUAACUCUGGGUCUGGAAAUAGGACCAGGCAGUUUGCCCUGGUUAGACCCAACUG